This 212-nucleotide unclassified non-coding RNA is filed under the name plant metagenome. RNAcentral's name for it is "partial contains small subunit ribosomal RNA, internal transcribed spacer 1, and 5.8S ribosomal RNA". The record is from RNAcentral.
UCUCCGUUGGUGAACCAGCGGAGGGAUCAUUACAGGAUCGAAAGACUCCUAUAACCCCUGUGAACUUACUACAAAUACGUUGCUUCGGCGGGUGCCCCGGGUCUCCCGGGGCGUUCAGCCCGCCGGCAGCCUUCAAAUUCUGUUUCUUUGCGUUGGCAUCUCGAGUAUACAAAAAUAUGUUAAAACUUUCAACAACGGAUCUCUUGGUUCUG